RNAcentral lists this long non-coding RNA (817 nucleotides) under Durio zibethinus. RNAcentral describes it as "long non-coding RNA (DZIB_LNC001595)". The record is from RNAcentral. Lineage: Eukaryota; Viridiplantae; Streptophyta; Magnoliopsida; Malvales; Malvaceae.
AACCCUUUCCAAAAGAAAAAAAAAAAGAACCCUAGAAACACGCCGAGGACCUGCAGCAAAGGUGUACGAUAGUGGGGUUGGCGAGGGGUGUUGAUGUAAGCGUGAGAGAAGAUCAUGCGUUGAUGCUGCAGCCUUGCAGUGCAGAUGAUAAUAACACUCUUCUUUUUCUUUUUCUUUUCUGUGCUGCUGUUGUCAGAGAGCUGGAUGCUAAUCUUGGAGGGUGCAAAGCCGACAAAAUCAGAGAAAAGGUUAAAGAGAGAGGUGAAAAGCAACCAGUAAAAAUUAGGUUUAAGGCAGGAACAGUGCGGUGUACGUGGGGGUAACGCACAGACAAACACCAGAGAAAAAAGAAGACCAUAACCUGCUAAUUUUGGCACCUUUGUGUGAGUUUAAGUGUGUCCUAUAAAUUAUUUGACCUCUCAAUAAUCACAAAACCCUUUCAUGGGGCAUCCAUGUGAAUGGACUUUGCUUUAACCUCUCCUUUGUGGGCUCCCUUCUGGGUUUUGACACGUGUAAUAUUCUUUAUCGUCCUUGUUUACUGUUCCCCUUCUUCCAUGCUAUGUCAUGUUUUUGGGCCGCAUUUCUUGAUAUUUCAAGUUUCAUCUUAUUUAGUAUUUGAUUAAAAUCGCUUUCUAGAAUUAGUCCUUAAAGUUUAUCGUCAAAGAAAAAACAUGUAAUAGACCUAAAAAUAAGGUUGAAGAAGGCAUGGUCUUAGCUAGUAGUGACACUGUUAUUUCACUUACUAUUACAUGAAUUAUUAAAUUUACUUUCGAAAUUAGGCAGGUUUUCUAUGUGAAGGAAUUUAUGUAUAGUAAGG